This is a transfer RNA of Culex pipiens (northern house mosquito), 72 nucleotides long. It matches the Rfam family "tRNA". From Rfam's summary of the family: Transfer RNA (tRNA) molecules are approximately 80 nucleotides in length. Their secondary structure includes four short double-helical elements and three loops (D, anti-codon, and T loops). Lineage: Eukaryota; Metazoa; Arthropoda; Insecta; Diptera; Culicidae. The record is from Rfam.
GGGACCGUGGCGUAGGGACAAGUGUGGUUGUCUCUCACCCAGUCGGCUUGGGUUCGAUCCCAGACGGUCCCG